GCCCGCCCGGCUCCUCACGCCAGGCCCCCCAGGGCUUCGUCCACCUCUCACCUUUGACGACGCGGGGCUGAAGACCGUCAUGCACCGCGCCGGCGGGGGCGGGGGCAGAGGCGGGGCAGGCUUCAGGGACUCCUGCAAAAUUACUGAGGGACCUGUGCCCAGGUGGCUUACAGAUACAGAUACCUAAGGUGAUAAACAUUCGUGGGGUUGAGAGACAAGAACCGCUGCUCCGUCAAUAAUGAGUGACUGGAUGGAUAUGGAGAGAUGGCUUAGCGGUUAAGGCGUUUGACUGCAAAGCCAAAGGACCCAGGUUCAAUUCCCCAGGACCCAUGUAAGCCUGAUGUACAGGGUAGUG
This is a long non-coding RNA of Jaculus jaculus (lesser Egyptian jerboa), 355 nucleotides long. RefSeq lists it as uncharacterized. The record is from RefSeq and is a predicted model, not a curated record. Lineage: Eukaryota; Metazoa; Chordata; Mammalia; Rodentia; Dipodidae. The transcript has 3 exons.